Molecule: ribosomal RNA, 422 nt
Filed under: uncultured Bacteroidota bacterium
Lineage: Bacteria; Pseudomonadati; Bacteroidota
Description: bacterial SSU rRNA
Rfam family: Bacterial small subunit ribosomal RNA
Source: RNAcentral
UGAGGAAUAUUGGUCAAUGGGUGCAAGCCUGAACCAGCCAUCCCGCGUGAAGGACGACUGCCCUAUGGGUUGUAAACUUCUUUUGUAUAGGGAUAAACCUACCCUCGUGAGGGUAGCUGAAGGUACUAUACGAAUAAGCACCGGCUAACUCCGUGCCAGCAGCCGCGGUAAUACGGAGGGUGCAAGAGUUAUCCGGAUUUAUUGGGUUUAAAGGGUCCGUAGGCGGACUUAUAAGUCAGUGGUGAAAGCCUGUCGCUUAACGAUAGAACUGCCAUUGAUACUGUAAGUCUUGAGUAUAUUUGAGGUAGCUGGAAUAAGUAGUGUAGCGGUGAAAUGCAUAGAUAUUACUUAGAAUACCAAUUGCGAAGGCGGGUUACCAAGAUAUAACUGACGCUGAGGGACGAAAGCGUGGGGAGCGAACA